Molecule: signal recognition particle RNA, 299 nt
Filed under: Cebus imitator (Panamanian white-faced capuchin)
Lineage: Eukaryota; Metazoa; Chordata; Mammalia; Primates; Cebidae
Description: Metazoan signal recognition particle RNA (ENSCCAG00000000254.1)
Rfam family: Metazoan signal recognition particle RNA
About the family: The signal recognition particle (SRP) is a universally conserved ribonucleoprotein. It is involved in the co-translational targeting of proteins to membranes. The eukaryotic SRP consists of a 300-nucleotide 7S RNA and six proteins: SRPs 72, 68, 54, 19, 14, and 9.
Source: RNAcentral
GCCGGGCGCGGUGGCGCGUGUCUGUAGUCCCAGCUAUUCGGGAGGCUGAGGCUGGAGGAUCUCUUGAGUCCAGGAGUUCUGGGCUGUAGUGCGCUAUGCCGAUCGGGUGUCCGCACUAAGUUCGGCAUCAAUAUGGUGACCUCCCGGGAGCGGGGGACCACCAGGUUGCCUAAGGAGGGGUGAACCGGCCCAGGUCGGAAACGGAGCAGGUCAAAACUCCCGUGCUGAUCAGUAGUGGGAUCGCGCCUGUGAAUAGCCACUGCACUCCAGCCUGGGCAACAUAGCGAGACCCUGUCUCU